Molecule: small RNA, 56 nt
Filed under: Sinorhizobium meliloti 2011
Lineage: Bacteria; Pseudomonadati; Pseudomonadota; Alphaproteobacteria; Hyphomicrobiales; Rhizobiaceae
Description: putative ncRNA
Source: RNAcentral
AACGACAGUACCUUGAACUUUGUUACCUCCCCCGGGUAGGCAUAAUGCGAUCUAUC